This 685-nucleotide ribosomal RNA is filed under the name uncultured bacterium. RNAcentral describes it as "bacterial SSU rRNA". It matches the Rfam family "Bacterial small subunit ribosomal RNA", at positions 776 to 1471 of the family's 1533-position model. The record is from RNAcentral.
GAUUAGAUACCCUGGUAGUCCACGCCGUAAACGAUGGAUACUCGCUGCGGGCUAAAGAUUGUCCGUGGCUUAGGGAAACCGAUAAGUAUCCCACCUGGGGAGUACGCCGGCAACGGUGAAACUCAAAGGAAUUGACGGGGGCCCGCACAAGUGGUGGAGCAUGUGGUUUAAUUCGAUGAUACGCGAGGAGCCUUACCUAGGCUAGAAUGCGCGUGACCGGCUCAGAGAUGAGCCUUUCCUUCGGGACACAAAGCAAGGUGCUGCAUGGCCGUCGUCAGCUCGUGCCGUGAGGUGUUGGGUUAAGUCCCGCAACGAGCGCAACCCCUAUGGUUAGUUGCCAGCACGUAAUGGUGGGGACUCUAGCCAGACUGCCUGCGCAAGCAGUGAGGAAGGCGGGGACGACGUCAGGUCAUCAUGGCCCUUACGCCUAGGGCGACACACGUGCUACAAUGGACGGUACAGCGGGUAGCUACCAGGCGACUGGAUGCCAAUCUCGAAAAGCCGUUCUCAGUUCGGAUCGGAGUCUGCAACUCGACUCCGUGAAGCUGGAAUCACUAGUAAUCGCGCAUCAGCCAUGGCGCGGUGAAUACGUUCCCGGGCCUUGUACACACCGCCCGUCAAGCCAUGAAAGUCUGGUAGACCUGAAGCUGGUGCUCGUCACAGAAGCCAGUUAGGGUAGAACAGG